CAUAGCUGGACAGAGGACGAGACCGAAAAAGAGAGGGAGGGCGUGCGAGGUGAGAAAACAGAAAUAGAACAUAAGUGCUGAGCCCCCCCGAUUGCAUCGUAAAUGUUGUAAUUGCGACAAUGACACGUCCCGCACGAAUCGUUUGGCGGUUUUUGCGUACAAUCAGGGGAAAGAUGGAGAUCUCCACCAGCUACAACAAAAAACGGGGCAUUUGCCAGAGAUGAUACAAAAGCUCAUCGCAAGAAUAUUGCAUCAAACAAGACUUAUCGUCCUGCCAUUGCUAGAUAACGAUUUAUCGCCACCAUGUUCACGUUAAUCUAAAUCACUCUGCACCGCCAGCACGCCAGACGAGAAAGGUGCUACUUCUGGUCGAUUCUGAUCAUGUUAUGUUAAUGAGGUUCGACCUUGCCCUACCGCACCGAUCUUUUCUAAUCCAGCUAAGGCGGCUUGUUAUGGAUGUUUGACUGUGUGUGUAGGUUUUCUCAAUCAGUGAGAUAAUUUAACCCGUUACAGCACGCAUUUCCAUCAAUCAUAUAUGGCCGUUACCAAGACCGUUAACGUCAGCUGUGGAGUGUCGUUGCUUUGUCGCUGUUGUGACGUUGGUGGUGACGACCGUUUUCUGCAGCUGGAAUGCACUCUGGCUGUCUUUUCUAGAACAGCAUAUGCUUCCCAUACACACACACAGAGGGUGGCACUGGGCACAGAAAAUGAUAAGGUGUAGUGCAACACUUAAUUUACCUUGCAUUUUCCUGCACGGGAUUGUAUAAUCCAUUGGUCCGUUUGGCUGACGGCUUUGUGCUGCUGGUGGUGUGCUGCUCUCCAUUGGUAACUUCUUUUAAAUUCGUUCGAUUCAUCUUUAAAAAAGCUUUAGUUUUAUUUGUACACUUGUCCUAUUAAUUUUCUUGGUGUUUUGGCACUCAGGCACUCUUUUCAGUUAACGUUUUGGCAAUUUUAUUUACAAUCUUCCCUCAAUGAUACACUUCACUGUAUACACAAACAGUGGAGGAGAGACCGUUUAAAUCACAACACGCUCUCGCACUCGGUUCACACGCCGCGUCUUCCAAAGCAAACCCGUUCGCGAUGACCGCUCGACUGCAAGUGACCGGACAGUGGAGAUCCGGCCGCUAAUGACAAUGAAGCUGCAAGUCAACCGCUCUGGGGCUGUGUGUGGACCCAAACCGAUUCCGCGCUGUGCGCUAGUGUUGGUGACAAUGCGGAAUGACAAUCGCUGACUUUGUUUCUACAACAUUGCUCUGGUGGACGCGUGGAAUGUAUGUUAUGGCUUUUCGAGACAGGCGAGGCGCAGCUCCGAAUGAUAACGAAUUUACGAGGCACGCAUUCUCGCGCCAAGAAUAGGGUUUUGAAAAACACUGUUCACUGGGAAUUUCCGUUUCGUUUUUUUUUUUAAAUCUACCGCAGAGAUGAUGGUAACAUUUGUUUCUAAAAUUACGCUUCAAUUAUUCAUAACAAUACCUUGCAAUGUACGUCCCAUCAACAAAUAAUUCAAAUUUCUUCCCUUAGCAUUGCUAUAAUUAAUUUAUAGCAUCGGCAAUAUUUUAUAGCUUGCUUAUAGAACGAUGCACCAUAAACACGUUGAUAAGUUCCUUUGCAGUGACUGCGUCCCACCCUUUGCUGGCGUAUUCCCUUGCUGCAUUUAUGGGACUUUACUUUCCUCCUGUGUAAAUGGCUUAAUUUAAUAGCAUCAUCACGGCCAAUUGCUUCCGACGAUAAUGUGGUACGAUCAAAGCAUAGCGAGCAGCAGCAGCCGCAGCAAAGGUCAGUGCGCGGUUCUGCCAACAAUGAUUUCCAUCCACCAUUAGCGAGCUACAGCUGGAUUUGGCGGGUGUUAAACCGUAUUUUGGGAAUACCGUUUUAGCGUCCGUCCCUUCCCCAAUCAUCCAAACACCCCACCCGAGGGGUCACGCUGGGGACACGCUGGAAUUGAAUUAGCGUCACUCGGGGCGUAUCAAUUGCGUGCGAAGCCGGAUUGUAACUACAGCACGAGAGGUCGCCAAAAUGUUCAUUCUUUCCGCCCAGGGACAAUCACUGUGCAGGGUUCGAUUUUAAUUAAAAUUGUUUUAUUUUAAGCAUUUUUCACAGAUUUUUUGGUUGUUUGUUUUUUUUUUUACAUAAAAGGAAUGUGUUUUUUUCUUUUCUUGUUGCAAUUCACACGCGAAUGUAAAAGGAUUUGCUGUGUCGUUUAAAUCACU
Anopheles merus is the source of this 2210-nucleotide long non-coding RNA. RefSeq lists it as uncharacterized. The record is from RefSeq and is a predicted model, not a curated record. The transcript is spliced from 2 exons. Lineage: Eukaryota; Metazoa; Arthropoda; Insecta; Diptera; Culicidae.